GUUUUAGAAAAUGUCAGCAUGCUUAUAUUUAUAGUAUAGUCUUAUGUUAGUAGCUCGAAUUUAUUGAUUUGUAUGUUUUAUAUGAAAUCUGAAUUUGGAGUGUAAGCUAAUGAUUUUAGAUGAAUUUUAUAUUCUAAACUGAGAUUUGAAUUAAGAGAAAACUCAUUAAAUCUACACCCGACACUUUUAAAAAAGUUAACAGAAUUAGCUUGCGGAGCUGUUUUUCUUUUGUAUCACCGCUGUUAGUGCGUCGUGGAUACUUGGUUUAGUGUAGGUUGAGUUUAUACUCGUGUUGAGGGGCCGAGCUCGUUUUACAGCAGAGUUAGGCUAUUUUGUACUGUCGGAUGCCGUCGGGGCUAAUGGUGAACCCAGAUUCCUAUACCUUGCAUCAGAUUGUGCCGAGAGCACGCGAG
This 413-nucleotide long non-coding RNA is filed under the name Ananas comosus (pineapple). RNAcentral describes it as "long non-coding RNA (ACOM_LNC021497)". Lineage: Eukaryota; Viridiplantae; Streptophyta; Magnoliopsida; Poales; Bromeliaceae. The record is from RNAcentral.